UAUUUAUAUAGUAUAAAAAUUACAUUUAACUUCCAAUUAAAAAAUCUAUGAUUAGUAUAAAU
Molecule: transfer RNA, 62 nt
Filed under: Eucnemidae sp. 4 ACP-2013
Lineage: Eukaryota; Metazoa; Arthropoda; Insecta; Coleoptera; Eucnemidae
Description: tRNA-Gly
Source: RNAcentral